Molecule: ribosomal RNA, 229 nt
Filed under: uncultured bacterium
Lineage: Bacteria
Description: partial 16S ribosomal RNA
Rfam family: Bacterial small subunit ribosomal RNA
Source: RNAcentral
UCCGUAGGCGGGUAAUUAAGUCAGAGGUGAAAUCCCACAGCUUAACUGUGGAACUGCCUUAGAUACUGGUUAUCUUGAGUUUUAGUGAAGUAGAUAGAAUGUGUAGUGUAGCGGUGAAAUGCAUAGAUAUUACACAGAAUACCGAUUGCGAAGGCAGUCUACUAACUAACAACUGACGCUAAUGGACGAAAGCGUGGGGAGCGAACAGGAUUAGAUACCCUGGUAGUCU